Long non-coding RNA from Vidua macroura (Pin-tailed whydah), 887 nucleotides. RefSeq lists it as uncharacterized. Lineage: Eukaryota; Metazoa; Chordata; Aves; Passeriformes; Viduidae. The transcript is spliced from 3 exons. The record is from RefSeq and is a predicted model, not a curated record.
GCACGCGCCCGACGCACGACGCGCGGCUGGUGCCGGCGUCAGCGCGGCCCCGCGGGGACCCUCAGCCUCGCGACCCUCAGACCGCGCCACGCUGCCUCAGCACCGCCGGGGCCCUCCGAGCCCUCCGGUCCCCUCAGUGCCCCCAGCCCAGACCCUACUGCCCUCAGCGUCGCAGAAAGGUCGGGAAGAAUACAACCCUCUAGGACUGUAAUUUCAGUCUUAGAAAGCAGGCGUUACUUUAUUUCAGCGCUGGGUGCAGGGGGGACCACUCCUCCUAACACAUGCCCGCACCGUUUCAGAAUUCUCGUCCCCAUUAUUUACAUAUUCAAAUCUGUACACUUUAUAGCUUGAGCAUGCGUUACAAUUUGGGUAACAGUCUCAAGAGGGUCUCUGGUGGUUAUCUGGGGAAUGGCCCCUACCUUACAUUAUACAUUCAUGGCCACAAGUUCAUCUGAGGAAAUGACUUAUGAAUUGUCUCACAGUCUGCUGUCUUGGUUGUACAACUUCCUUCCUUGUUUUUGCAGGAGCAGUUAUUCCACCUAAGGAGAAAUUCUGUUGCUUCAGGGUUCCUUUCUGGGUAACAGAGUGGUUGUAUUUAUAUCCCUUGACUUUAGACCCUGUAUUGCCCCAGCAUAUAUCCACAUGAAGGCAGGUCUUUGACAUGCCAGAAUGUGUAUAAAAGGAAACAGCAAGAGAAUGGUAACUACAGAUCAGUCUUCUAAGUAACUCAGUGCAAGACAGAAGCCCGUAUCAGCUCUGAUAAGUGGUCAGUUCAUGUCACUCAUGCCUUCUUAAAUGACAUGUUAGAAAACCCAAGUCCAUAUACCAGUACUAAUACUGAUUCAUAUACAUUUCUGACCAAAAAUAAAGCACAACUGUAAAACAUA